Molecule: ribosomal RNA, 437 nt
Filed under: uncultured Sporobacter sp.
Lineage: Bacteria; Bacillati; Bacillota; Clostridia; Eubacteriales; Oscillospiraceae
Description: bacterial SSU rRNA
Rfam family: Bacterial small subunit ribosomal RNA
Source: RNAcentral
ACGGAAGGCAGCAGUGGGGAAUAUUGGGCAAUGGGCGAAAGCCUGACCCAGCAACGCCGCGUGAAGGAAGAAGGUCUUCGGAUUGUAAACUUCUUUUAUAAGGGACGAAGAAAGUGACGGUACCUUAUGAAUAAGCCACGGCUAACUACGUGCCAGCAGCCGCGGUAAUACGUAGGGGACAAGCGUUAUCCGGAUUUACUGGGUGUAAAGGGCGCGUAGGCGGGAUGGCAAGUCAGAUGUGAAAUCCAUGGGCUCAACCCAUGAACUGCAUUUGAAACUGUCGUUCUUGAGUGUCGGAGAGGCAAGCGGAAUUCCUAGUGUAGCGGUGAAAUGCGUAGAUAUUAGGAGGAACACCAGUGGCGAAGGCGGCUUGCUGGACGAUAACUGACGCUGAGGCGCGAAAGCGUGGGGAGCAAACAGGAUUAGAUACCCUGGUA